GGCCAGUGGGUCCGAGCUGGUGCGGAGAAGCUGCUUGCACGGGAGAAUCGGGUGUGGAGGAGCUGCGUGGGUGUGGUUUUGCUCUGCUAGUUCUCUUUCGGCAAACAGUUUGGUGCUGGCUGUGAGCAGGGCUCUGUGGGCUCCGUGCUGGGGAUGCCCUAGCCAAAAACCGUCUAGAUGCUGGGGGAGCCAGUCUGGGAUGACACAGAUGUACAGGUAAGCAACAGGGCAGGAUGACGUCAGCCUCUAUCCCACCUUCCUCUGUGUUCCUCUGCUUAUUCUCAUCCCUCCUUCAGCUCAUUCCAGAGUACUUUGCCUCUUCACCUCUCCUUCUGUUCCGUACUCUUCUUACCAUUCCCAGGCUCCCUUCUCCCCUUGUUCUGACCCAAGCUGUUUCCUUUGUAUCUUGCUGUUUUGUUACUUGGCCACCGGAUAGUGUUGCAGGGAAAGCCACGUUCGCAGGGGAUUUAGUGACACAGAAUGCCCCAUGCCUGGCCUUCAUCCUUGUGUGAAGAAAUGCCUGUUAAUUGUCGUCUUGUUGCAGGGCUCCGCGGUCUCUCAGCGCUUAUACCCACUGCUUGUGCCGCAGUCACUUGCAGUGCUUCAGGAUCGUGACGCGCCAUGCAGCUCCAACUGUCUUAAUUAUUCUGCUGCCUAUUGAGUGAUGGGAGGAAUCUGAGAUUUGAGAAGUUAAUCUCAUGGUUGGCUCAAUGGUAGAGUGCAUGUAUGAGGUCCUGGGUUCAAUCCCCAGUACUUCCAUUAAAAAAAUAAUAAUUUCAUGAAAACAGUAGACAGGAGGGACCCACUGAUGUGUGAUGUGACAUAGAACCUUGUGUAACUGGGGAAGAUAAGCCUUAGCAUCUGUUUUUUUUUUUUUUUUUUU
Molecule: long non-coding RNA, 883 nt
Organism: Camelus dromedarius (Arabian camel)
Lineage: Eukaryota; Metazoa; Chordata; Mammalia; Artiodactyla; Camelidae
Exons: 2
Source: RefSeq, a predicted model, not a curated record